UAGGGAAUCUUCCACAAUGGACGCAAGUCUGAUGGAGCAACGCCGCGUGAGUGAAGAAGGUUUUCGGACCGUAAAGCUCUGUUGUUGGUGAAGAAGGAUAGAGGUAGUAACUGGCCUUUAUUUGACGGUAAUCAACCAGAAAGUCACGGCUAACUACGUGCCAGCAGCCGCGGUAAUACGUAGGUGGCAAGCGUUGUCCGGAUUUAUUGGGCGUAAAGCGAGCGCAGGCGGAAGAAUAAGUCUGAUGUGAAAGCCCUCGGCUUAACCGAGGAAUUGCAUCGGAAACUGUUUUUCUUGAGUGCAGAAGAGGAGAGUAGAACUCCAUGUGUAGCGGUGGAAUGCGUAGAUAUAUGGAAGAAUACCAGUGGCGAAGGCGGCUCUCUGGUCUGCAACUGACGCCGAGGCUCGAAAGCAUGGGUAGCGAACAGGAUUAGAUACCCUGGUAAUCCAUGCCGUAAACGAUGAGUGCUAAGUGUUGGGAGGCUUCCGCCUCUCAGUGCUGCAGCUAACGCAUUAAGCACUCCGCCUGGGGGAGUACGACCGCAAGGUUGAA
RNAcentral lists this ribosomal RNA (553 nucleotides) under uncultured bacterium. Its description in RNAcentral is "partial 16S ribosomal RNA". It matches the Rfam family "Bacterial small subunit ribosomal RNA", at positions 355 to 898 of the family's 1533-position model. The record is from RNAcentral.